GGUUUUUUGUAUUUAUAUAAAGAAUCGAGCCUGCCCACUGAGGUUAUUUGAAGGGCUGCAGUAUUUUGACUGUACAAAGGUAGCAUAAUCAUUAGUCUUUUAAUUGGGGACUGGAAUGAAAGGUUUGACAGGUUUUAACUGUCUCUGAAGUAAUGGUUAAAUUUUUUUCUUUGUGAAAAAACAGAGAUAAUUUAAAGGGACGAGAAGACCCUAUUAAACUUGAUUUAUAUUGUAAACUAUUUAGAUAUAUAAAAUUAAUUAUUAAUUUAAAUUUUACUGGGGCGGUAGAUAAUAAACGUUAUUUUAUUGGAAUAUGUUUAGUAGCUUUUAUAAGGAUCCAAUUGAUUGAUAUUAAGAUAAAGUUACUAUAGGGAUAACAGCGUAAUAUUUUUUAAGAGUUCAUAUUGACAAAAAUGUUUGCGACCUCGAUGUUGGAUUAAGAAGUCUUUUUGGUGCAGAAGCCAUAAAAGAUAGUCUGUUCGACUAUUAAAAUCUU
RNAcentral lists this ribosomal RNA (496 nucleotides) under Aulacobolus uncopygus. RNAcentral describes it as "partial 16S ribosomal RNA". It matches the Rfam family "Bacterial large subunit ribosomal RNA", at positions 1829 to 2597 of the family's 2925-position model. The record is from RNAcentral. Lineage: Eukaryota; Metazoa; Arthropoda; Diplopoda; Spirobolida; Pachybolidae.